Brachypodium distachyon (stiff brome) is the source of this 125-nucleotide non-coding RNA. The record is from Rfam. NCBI's taxonomy places the organism in Eukaryota, Viridiplantae, Streptophyta, Magnoliopsida, Poales, Poaceae.
CUGCUACUCCCUCCGUCCCAUAUUAAGUGAUUUCUAUUACAUGUAUCUAGACAUAUUUUAGUAUAUAGAUAUGUCCAUAUUUAGACAAAUUUGAGUCACUUAAUAUGGGAUGGAGGGAGUACAAA